GUGGGGAAUAUUGGACAAUGGGGGGAACCCUGAUCCAGCCAUGCCGCGUGUGUGAAGAAGGCCUUUUGGUUGUAAAGCACUUUAAGCGAGGAGGAGGCUACCGAGAUUAAUACUCUUGGAUAGUGGACGUUACUCGCAGAAUAAGCACCGGCUAACUCUGUGCCAGCAGCCGCGGUAAUACAGAGGGUGCAAGCGUUAAUCGGAUUUACUGGGCGUAAAGCGCGCGUAGGUGGCCAAUUAAGUCAAAUGUGAAAUCCCCGAGCUUAACUUGGGAAUUGCAUUCGAUACUGGUUAGCUAGAGUAUGGGAGAGGAUGGUAGAAUUCCAGGUGUAGCGGUGAAAUGCGUAGAGAUCUGGAGGAAUACCGAUGGCGAAGGCAGCCAUCUGGCCUAAUACUGACACUGAGGUGCGAAAGCAUGGGGAGCAAACAGGAUUAGAAACCCGGGUAGUCC
RNAcentral lists this ribosomal RNA (451 nucleotides) under uncultured bacterium. RNAcentral's name for it is "partial 16S ribosomal RNA". It matches the Rfam family "Bacterial small subunit ribosomal RNA", at positions 354 to 796 of the family's 1533-position model. The record is from RNAcentral.